RNAcentral lists this ribosomal RNA (799 nucleotides) under uncultured bacterium. Its description in RNAcentral is "bacterial SSU rRNA". It matches the Rfam family "Bacterial small subunit ribosomal RNA", at positions 8 to 808 of the family's 1533-position model. The record is from RNAcentral.
AGAGUUUCUUUUGGCUCAGGAUGAACGCUGGCGGCGUGCUUAACACAUGCAAGUCGAACGGGAAAUAUUUCAUUGAGACUUCGGUGGAUUUGAUCUAUUUCUAGUGGCGGACGGGUGAGUAACGCGUGGGUAACCUGCCUUAUACAGGGGGAUAACAGUCAGAAAUGGCUGCUAAUACCGCAUAAGCGCACAGAGCUGCAUGGCUCAGUGUGAAAAACUCCGGUGGUAUAAGAUGGACCCGCGUUGGAUUAGCUGGUUGGUGGGGUAACGGCCCACCAAGGCGACGAUCCAUAGCCGGCCUGAGAGGGUGAACGGCCACAUUGGGACUGAGACACGGCCCAGACUCCUACGGGAGGCAGCAGUGGGGAAUAUUGCACAAUGGGGGAAACCCUGAUGCAGCGACGCCGCGUGAAGGAAGAAGUAUCUCGGUAUGUAAACUUCUAUCAGCAGGGAAGAUAGUGACGGUACCUGACUAAGAAGCCCCGGCUAACUACGUGCCAGCAGCCGCGGUAAUACGUAGGGGGCAAGCGUUAUCCGGAUUUACUGGGUGUAAAGGGAGCGUAGACGGUGUGGCAAGUCUGAUGUGAAAGGCAUGGGCUCAACCUGUGGACUGCAUUGGAAACUGUCAUACUUGAGUGCCGGAGGGGUAAGCGGAAUUCCUAGCGUAGCGGUGAAAUGCGUAGAUAUUAGGAGGAACACCAGUGGCGAAGGCGGCUUACUGGACGGUAACUGACGUUGAGGCUCGAAAGCGUGGGGAGCAAACCAGGAUUAGAUACCCUGGUAGUCCACGCCGUAAACG